CAGUAGCCGCGGGAAUACGGAGGGUGCAAGCGUUAGUCGGAUUUACUGGGCGUAAAGGGCGCGUAGGUGGUUAUUUAAGUGAGAUGUGAAAGCCCCGGGCUUAACCUGGGAACUGCAUCUUAUACUGGGUAACUGGAGUGCAGUAGAGGGUAGUGGAAUUUCCGGUGUAGCGGUGAAAUGCGUAGAUAUCGGAAGGAACACCAAUGGCGAAGGCAGCUUCUUGGUCCAUUCCUGACGUUCAUACACGAAAGCGUGGGGAGCAAACAGGAUUAGAUACCCCUGUAGUCCCUGUCUCUUAUAC
This 301-nucleotide ribosomal RNA is filed under the name uncultured bacterium. Its description in RNAcentral is "partial 16S ribosomal RNA". It matches the Rfam family "Bacterial small subunit ribosomal RNA", at positions 509 to 807 of the family's 1533-position model. The record is from RNAcentral.